This 292-nucleotide RNase P RNA is filed under the name human gut metagenome. RNAcentral describes it as "Archaeal RNase P". It matches the Rfam family "Archaeal RNase P". From Rfam's summary of the family: Ribonuclease P (RNase P) is a ubiquitous endoribonuclease, found in archaea, bacteria and eukarya as well as chloroplasts and mitochondria. Its best characterised activity is the generation of mature 5'-ends of tRNAs by cleaving the 5'-leader elements of precursor-tRNAs. The record is from RNAcentral.
GGGAGACGGAGGACGGCCGACGGUAGCCGCAAGGCAGCUGAGGAAGUUCCCUCCUCCAAGGGCGAGGUGGAUCCGGAAAUCGGAUACGGCGAGAGCCGUGGCAAGGGCACAGAAACGACACAGACCCGGUCGACAGGAUGAUCCAUUGGAUGGUGACGUUCCCGGGGAUUUGGUGAAACGGCGACUCCCCACCGGAGCAAGUCCGCACAGCGGGGCAGACCGGCCCGGGACCCGCGGGUAGGACGCGAAGUUGAAUGCCGUCUGAAACAGAAGGGGGGCUACUACCGCCACC